This 253-nucleotide ribosomal RNA is filed under the name uncultured bacterium. RNAcentral describes it as "partial 16S ribosomal RNA". It matches the Rfam family "Bacterial small subunit ribosomal RNA", at positions 524 to 776 of the family's 1533-position model. The record is from RNAcentral.
GACGUAAGAGGCGAGCGGUGUCCGGAAUCACUGGGCGUAAAGCGCGUGUAGGCGGCUUGGUAAGUCGGAUGUGAAAUCCCUGGGCUCAACCCAGGAACUGCGUCCGAGACUGCCAGGCUUGAGAGCAGGAGAGGAGAGUGGAAUUCCGGGUGUAGCGGUGAAAUGCGUAGAUAUCCGGAGGAACACCAGUUGCGAAGGCGGCUCUCUGGCCUGUAUCUGACGCUGAGACGCGAAAGCGUGGGGAGCGAACGGG